RNAcentral lists this transfer RNA (75 nucleotides) under Senegalimassilia anaerobia. Its description in RNAcentral is "tRNA-Val". It matches the Rfam family "tRNA". From Rfam's summary of the family: Transfer RNA (tRNA) molecules are approximately 80 nucleotides in length. Their secondary structure includes four short double-helical elements and three loops (D, anti-codon, and T loops). RNAcentral also lists the same sequence under 4 other names. Lineage: Bacteria; Bacillati; Actinomycetota; Coriobacteriia; Coriobacteriales; Coriobacteriaceae. The record is from RNAcentral.
GGCCGGUUGGCGCAGCGGGAGCGCAGGUGCCUUACAAGCACAAGGUCACAGGUUCAAAUCCUGUACCGGCCACCA